This 815-nucleotide long non-coding RNA is filed under the name Capsicum annuum. Its description in RNAcentral is "long non-coding RNA (CANN_LNC003079)". The record is from RNAcentral. Lineage: Eukaryota; Viridiplantae; Streptophyta; Magnoliopsida; Solanales; Solanaceae.
AAAAUAAUAAAAUAUCUUUUGAUCAAUAAUCUAAAGACCAAAUGUUGUUCUAAAAGAAAAAGAGGGGACAUCCUUUUAUCUUUUGGUUAAUAGGGGGUGUCAUUUUCUAUUAUAAAUAGAGGAAGGGAUUAAUUAUUUUUUGACACAAAAUAAAUAAAAAUUCACACACAAAAAGUCAGAUUUCUCUCCUGCACUCUCCUCCGCAACUCUCUUUCUUUCGUCACAUUGUCGCCGUCAAGUUUGACCACCGGACGACUGUUAAUUGUCGGAGAACACUGACACUGCCGCCUUUCUCUUUCUCUUUUUACCUCUUUUUUCUCCUUCACCGCUACCUCGAUGGAAGUGGUGGCAGGGGAGCUUCGACCGAACUCUGUCAUUUGCUGCGAGGUCCUCUCCCUUCACAUUGCUCUUCUCCCCUUGUCUCAUCACUGUCACACCAAAAAUAACCAGAUCUGAUCGAGAUCUUGAUGUCUAAGCCGAUACUUCAUCAAAUGUCGUUGAAGCAACGCCGCCAUUAUUUUCUCCUUCAGCAGAAAAUCUAGAUUUGACUGAAAAAAUACCAUCUCCGUCAGCAUUUGUGCUAUAUUUGACAUUGUUGUGUUCUUUCAAAUUUCUUUAGAACUUAGAUAAAGUUUGCUUACAAAUUUAUCUGGUUUAUUAUUAUGUCGAGCUUUUGGUUGAUUUUCACGAUAUUAUAUUUUUUCAUUGAUGUUUAGGCUUUAUUAAUAUGUUUUUAUUUUAUUUUAUUUGGUGAUUUUAUCUUUUGUUAAUGACAUUGUUACUUUAAUCAUGUCCUCGUCAAUAUAUUUCGAGCA